GGAGGGGGGAUACGGUGCAGGAGGAGGGGACUUAGAACCAGGGGGAGAGCGGAGAGCCUCCAGGAUGAACUAGGGGAGAAGGGAAUGGCAGCAGCGUUCGCUCCUAUUCACCGAACCCCUGGCUGGCUGACCCGGGAAAAACAGUCUACCAAUUUAUCUCAUAAAGUAACCCUAAAAUACUUCUGCAGGCAUCACCCUAUGUUCCAGGUGAGCCACUGAGGCUCAGGGAGGACAGAGGUGAAGGAUCUUGCCCCAGUCACAGGAGGAAUCACAGGCAGAAAGGGGGAGAUGGAAAGAGGUAGGAGGGAGAGCAGGGAAGGAGAGGAGGGACUGGAGGGGGCAGAAGGAAGGGGAGGUGGCUGUCCCAGGAUGGAGUCAGGGGCCAUCCUCAAAGUCCAGCUUCAGCUUCUCCAGGUUUUUGCCCACAUCCUGGGACAGGGGGCUCCUCUCCCCCUGGACAUACUCAUCCGGUGGGCAGCUGUGCCUGCUAGGAAGGCCUUCUACCCACCUCCCAGACAUCCCACAGGGAAGCAACUUUCACUCCCAGACCGCUGGUGCUCCCCUGCCUCCCAGGCCUGGGGUGGGUGUGGGUGAGGACGCUGCAAGGUAGUGGUCAGGACACAAGCAUCAGCAUCGGACAUCCCUGGUUCAAGUCCUACUCAGAGUGGGAAGGACACAGACUUUGCAGUGAUUCCUUGUGUGUGACUCCCAGCUUCACCACUCCUGGUUGUGCAACCUCAGACAAAUGCCUUGACCUCCCCUGGCCUCAGCUUCCUUAUCUGUCAAGUGGGGUAUUCCUAGUCUCCCCAGGCCACUGAGGGGCAUGGUGGGAAUGGAUAAGAAUGUGGGUGUGAGCUGUAUGCAUGGGAGGGAUUGAUUAUGUUCCAGUAUGUGCCUGCUAGGAAGGCCUUCCACUCACCUCCCAGACAUCCCACAGGGAAGCAGCUCAUGUUCACUGAGCACUGACGGGAUGGCUGGUCCUACAUGAAGUCCCAGGAAAGACCUGUGCAUGAAGUCCCAGGGAAGACCCUGACCCGCUCCCUGUGCAGGCAGGGUAGACAGACACUUGAACAAAUAACCACAGUCCAAGACACAAAUGCAGAUCAUUUUCAGAUGCAUUUAAUUCUGAACAGCCCUGUGAGGAGGGCAGGACAAAGAUUAUUAUCCCAUUAGACAGAUGAAGAAGCUGAGGUCCAGAUAAAUCAAGUGAGUUGCUGAAGGUCACACAGCAAUGAGGGGCAGAGCUGGGUCUUGACCCUGGAGCCCUUUUCACUCUGGGGGUACCAGGCCUGCCAGAAAGGUUAUCACCAAAGGGUUCUGGAAGAGUGACCUCCUCAAACUUUCCCUGUCCUCAGACUGGCUUGUGGCCUGAGAGUCCGCUAUCAGCACAUCAUACCUUUGGCUAAAAAUGUGCUAAAAAUGUGCCAGCCCCUCCAGUGUCAAUCAAAUGGCCAUCAGUCAUUUACACUUGAGUGUGGAGAAGCCGAUCAGAUUUUAUGGGUUGGAGAUGAGAAGGAAUCUUGAGUGUUUGGACUUUUGGGUGGGAAACUGGAGAUAUGAGAGGAAAGUUUGACAGCAGAGAGAACUCAGGAGGUGGGUGGGGAGGGAGUCAUGGUUAACUGGAGGAUGGAGUGAGUCCGCAUGACCUAGACACCUCUGUGUACCUCACCUCCAUGAAGUAUAACCAAUGUCUGGCACUCGUGGAGCACUUAGGAUAUACCAGACACUGUGCUCUCUCCUUUUUUUUGAGAUGGAGUCUUGCUCUGUCACCCACGCUGGAGUGCAUUGGCAUGAUCUCAGCUCACUGCAACCUCCACCUCUCCGGUUCAAGCAAUUCUCCUGCCUCAGCCUCCCGAGUAGCUGGGACUACAGGUGCAUGCCCAGCUAAUUUUUUUUAAAAACAUAUUUUAGUAGAGACCGGGUUUCACCAUGUUGCCCAGGCUGGUCUCCAACUCCUGAGCUCAGGCAAUCAGCCCGCCUUGGCCUCCCAAAAUGCAGCCGCUCUCUCCUUUAAUCUUUUUGUUUGUUUGUUUUUAAGACAGUCUCACUCUGUCGCCCAGGCUGCAGUGCAGUGGCACAAUAUCAGCUCACUGCAACCUCCACUUCCCAGGUUCAAGCAGUUCUCCUGCCACAGCCUCCAGAGUAGCUGGGACUACAGGUGUACACCACCAUAUUCAGCUAAUUUUUUUGUAUUUUUAGUAGAGAUGGGGGGGGUCACCAUGUUGGCCAGGCUGGUCUUGAACUCCUGAGAUACCCCUGCCUCAGCCUCCCAAAGUGCUGGAAUUACAGGUCUGAGCCACCAUGCCCGGCCUCUCCUUUACUCUUCAUGGCAACUGUUAUCUUUCUUUUUACAGAUGAGAAAAGGGAGGCACAGAGAGGCUAAAUAAUUUGGCCAAGAUCACACAGAAGCAGAGGAGCAGAAGGGUGGACCCAGGCAGGCCAGCUCUGCAGCCCCUGCUCUUGGCCACCAUGGGCUCCUCCUCUGGGCUAACCCAGCCCUUGCCAGAAUCCUACAUGGAAAGUAUUAUCAUCCCAUUGAAUAGAAGAGGAAAUGGAGGCACAGAGGGGCCCCAGGAUGGCAGAAUUAGUAACUGGGGUUGGGGGGAGCUGGGAUUAGACCCAGGUCUGAAAGCCAGGCCUUCCCUCUACCCUUCCUAUUUGCCAAACACCCGGGCCCCAUCCUGCCCAAGGUCAGCAGCCCAGGUGGCAGGAUGUGCUUCUGCCUGGUGCUGGCCUUGGGGAGCACUUGUUUUUCCCCAGAGGAAGCAGCAGGUGUGGCCUUCUUUAUGGAAAUGAUCCUAACUGGGUUGGAGCCAGGAUUCCCCCCAACACACACCCAGGCCAGGAGGACUUCAAUAGGACUAGGUCAGAGCUUCUAGGCUUGGAUGGAGG
This 2892-nucleotide long non-coding RNA is filed under the name Homo sapiens (human). Its description in RNAcentral is "LHRI_LNC123.1". Lineage: Eukaryota; Metazoa; Chordata; Mammalia; Primates; Hominidae. The record is from RNAcentral.